Molecule: long non-coding RNA, 384 nt
Organism: Poecile atricapillus (Black-capped chickadee)
Lineage: Eukaryota; Metazoa; Chordata; Aves; Passeriformes; Paridae
Exons: 3
Source: RefSeq, a predicted model, not a curated record
GCCAUGGACUGGGCAGAACUGGCCUGGUGGGCAGCACUGGGGGAGACCUGGACAGACAGAAGGAAAAGCCAACUCCUUUGCCUGGUAGGAACUCUGAGAGGGAAGAAAUGCCCUGGAUCACACAUCGUGCAGGACAGAGUCACCUCAGCUCUGCAGGAAACCUGAGCAACACAUUGCAAGGUUUCCCUGUGAAAAAGGGCUCCAAGGUGGACAUAAGUCUAUGGCAUGAAAAGCCAGUAACCAGCUCAGCCUCUCCAGCUCACAGAUUCCUCACUAGAAGGUCCAGUUGGUGGAUCCUGGUUCCAGUUGGUGGAUCCUGGCUCUGAUCAGUGGAUCCCCAAGUCCAGUCAGUGGAUCCCAGGUUGGGUGGUGGAUACUGGCUCC